This 496-nucleotide ribosomal RNA is filed under the name uncultured bacterium. RNAcentral describes it as "partial 16S ribosomal RNA". It matches the Rfam family "Bacterial small subunit ribosomal RNA", at positions 29 to 507 of the family's 1533-position model. The record is from RNAcentral.
AUGCACGCUGGCGGCGUGCCUAUUCCUUGACAGCGAGGGGAAAAAAGGGGAGCUUGGCCCCCUGGUUUUAACCGCCGGCGGGGGAGGAAACCCUGGAAUAACCUACCUUUAAACUUGGGUAAACUCCGGGAAACGGGAGUAAAAACCGGAAAAAAUGUUAAACCGCUUGGUUCAAAAGUAAAAGCCGGUCUUGCGGUCACUUAUAGUUGAAUCCGCGCCGCAUUAGCUAGUUGGUAAGGUAACGGCUUACCAAGGCAACGAUGCGUAGCCGACCUGAGAGGGUGAUCGGCCACACUGGAACUGAGACACGGUCCAGACUCCUACGGGAGGCAGCAGUAGGGAAUCUUCCGCAAAGGGCGAAAGCCUGACGGAGCAACGCCGCGUGAGUGAAGAAGGUCUUCGGAUCGUAAAACUCUGUUAUUAGGGAAGAACAAAUGUGUAAGUAACUAUGCACGUCUUGACGGUACCUAAUCAGAAAGCCACGGCUAACUACGUG